CCUACGGGUGGCAGCAGUAGGGAAUUUUCCACAAUGGGCGCAAGCCUGAAGCAGCAAUGCCGCGUGUAUGAGGAAGGUCUUCGGAUCGUAAAGUACUGUCGGAGGGGAAAAAGGGCGUAGAGAUGAAACCGUCGCUCAUUGACAUUACCCGCCGAGGAAGCCACGGCUAACUACGUGCCAGCAGCCGCGGUAAUACGUAGGGGGCGAGCGUUAACCGGAAUUAUUGGGCGUAAAGGGCACGUAGGCGGUCUGUAAAGUCAGGGGUGAAAAGUAGGGGCUCAACCGGGAUAGGGUGUGGAAACUGGCAAGCUUGAGUGGCGGAGAGGGCGGUAGAAUUCCAGGUGUAGUGGUGAAAUGCGUAGAGAUCUGGAGGAACACCAGUGGCGAAGGCGGCCGCCUGGCCGAAGACUGACGCUGAGGCGCGAAAGCGUGGGGAGCAAAUAGGAUUAGAUACCCGUGUAGUC
Molecule: ribosomal RNA, 464 nt
Filed under: uncultured bacterium
Lineage: Bacteria
Description: partial 16S ribosomal RNA
Rfam family: Bacterial small subunit ribosomal RNA
Source: RNAcentral